This 431-nucleotide unclassified non-coding RNA is filed under the name plant metagenome. RNAcentral's name for it is "partial contains 5.8S ribosomal RNA, internal transcribed spacer 2, and large subunit ribosomal RNA". The stretch from base 1 to 102 matches the Rfam family "5.8S ribosomal RNA", at positions 50 to 154 of the family's 154-position model. The record is from RNAcentral.
AAACUGCGAUAAGUAGUGUGAAUUGCAUUUAGUGAAUCAUCGAAUCUUUGAACGCACCUUGCACUCACUGGUAUUCCGGUGAGUACGCCUGUUUCAGUAUCAUUGAAAACACACAAUCAAAACAUUUUCUUUGGUUUGAUUGGCUUUGGGUCUAUCAAAAAGUUUGGCUUGUUUCUUACAAGCCAAGCGGCCUGAAAUAUAUUGUCUGGCUAAUUGCAUCGUUGAUGAUCGCUAUUAGACUUUGGCUUUUUUAAAUGAACUGGAGGUUGAUUAACCAGUUUUAGCUUUAGUCAAAUGGUCAUUGUAAAAAAAAUCUCGAUCUUGGCUAGGUGUUUAUAGCCGAAAAUUUUUUUUUGGCUAUAACCGAAACCAAUAUAAUCACAUUUAGUUAUCGAUCUGAAAUCAGGUGGGACUACCCGCUGAACUUAAGC